AUACGGAGGACGCGAGCGUUAUCCGGAUUCAUUGGGUUUAAAGGGCGCGUAGGCGGCCCGGUAAGUCUGGAGUGAAAGUCCUGUUUUUAAGAUGGGAAUUGCUUUGGAUACUGUCGGGCUUGAGUGCAGGAGAGGUAAGUGGAAUUCCCAGUGUAGCGGUGAAAUGCGUAGAGAUUGGGAGGAACACCAGUGGCGAAGGCGACUUACUGGACUGUAACUGACGCUGAGGCGCGAAAGUGUGGGGAGCAAACAGGAUUAGAUACCCUGGUAGUCCACACUGUAAACGAUGAAUGCUAGGUGUAAGAGGUAUCGACCCCUUUUGUGCCGGAGUCAACACAAUAAGCAUUCCGCCUGGGGAGUACGGCCGCAAGGUUGAAACUCAAAUGAAUUGACGGGG
This 397-nucleotide ribosomal RNA is filed under the name uncultured bacterium. RNAcentral's name for it is "partial 16S ribosomal RNA". It matches the Rfam family "Bacterial small subunit ribosomal RNA", at positions 523 to 918 of the family's 1533-position model. The record is from RNAcentral.